UACGUAGGAUCCAAGCGUUAUCCGGAAUUACUGGGCGUAAAGCGUACGUAGGUGGAGACUUAAGUGAGAUGCGAAAUCUAGCGGCUCAACCGUUUAGACUGUGUCUCAUACUGGGUUUCUUGAGGUUGGCAGAGGCAAGUGGAAUUUCCGGUGUAGCAGUGAAAUGCGUAGAUAUCGGAAGGAACACCAAUGGCGAAGGCAGCUUGCUGGGCCACACCUGACACUGAGGUACGAAAGCGUGGGGAGCGAACAGG
Molecule: ribosomal RNA, 254 nt
Filed under: uncultured bacterium
Lineage: Bacteria
Also listed under: 1 other name
Description: partial 16S ribosomal RNA
Rfam family: Bacterial small subunit ribosomal RNA
Source: RNAcentral